AGGGUUUUCAAAUUCUGACACAACGUGCUCCUGCCAGUAGUGAAGGACCUCGACCUGGCGUUGGCACACAGAGCGGGUGCCACGCCAGCUGGGAAGGCUGGAGGCUGCAGGAGGACCCCACUAUACAGCCCACACCCCAGGCUUUUUCUGAAAGCCUCAAGCUUCUGGUUUUGCCUUUUGCUGUCAAUAUCAGCAGAUGUGUGUGGCACCACCACUGAUUUAAUAUGCAGACACACACACAGACUAAAUUAUCUUAUCCUGGAGAUGCUGGAGAUGCUCCUGGGAGGAGGAGAGGCAUCUAGCACUUAGAGUUCCAACAGCACAAAUGGUUGCUGUCAAGAAGAAUGAGUGUCCCUGAAAGAGUGGCCAUUGGGUUCACGGGUGGAUCAACCCAUGCUAUUGCAAAAAACAUGCUCGUGUGUAGAAACAGGUAGACCUCUGUUGGUACAUGGCGCUACAGUAGACUAAUACAACCAUGCUGAUCGAAAGGCAGCCUUUGGAAAACCUCGUCUUGUGAUGGCUAGCUGCCCUGAACAGCCUGGGGUACAAAUGCCUAGAUAUAAGGGAGAAAGAGAAUAUUUCCUCCCUCAACAUUUUAAACUCUUCAUGUUCAAUGAUCAGACUUGGGAGGAGUUAUAGAAAGUUUAACCACUAUAUGAAAGAGUUGGUCAUAAAUAUAAAUCAGCUUAUAUUAAGGCAAUUUGAAAUGUACUACCUGAAUAAUUUGAAAGUAGUCAUUUUUCACAGCUCAUGAAUGUUCUUCACCUCUGAAAACAGUUUGUUCUAAUUUUAAAUACUGACAUGAACACUUGAAUGUAGAAAAUGUCUCGUGUUUAUGUAUCUGAAAUUCAGAAGUCUGGAGUGGCCUGAUCUUUGUGUUGAACCCUUUCCCUCUCCCCCAGACAGAGUGCCAGAGCCUGCCUUGGUUCUCUCCACCUCUCUUUGAAUUCUUGGAAACAAUCAGAUUUCUUCUGCCGACGGUGGCAGGUACCGCCACCCAACGUGGAUGUCAUCUUUGGCAGGGGGGGACUUGUAGCUUUAUUUUUCAGGCUUUUUCCACUUUAAAGUUUGUAGAGGUUUUCUGCUUUUGCUGCCCUGGUGGCGUGCUUGUCUGUUAAACCAGAUCCCCAUUUUACUUGGCUUCAGUGUUGGUUGCAAUUUCUGUUGGUCAUGGUUGGGAUCACCUAUCAACUCCUGUAGGUCAGGAGUUUUCUGUGUGCUGGGUAAUAUUGCUUGUGACUCUGAGCUUGUCCAGAUGCUCUUCAUUUAUGCAGAUAUCCUCUGGGUUUUAAGAUUUAUGCUUUAGUGUGAAACAGAGGAUAUCCUCAGAGUUGUGAUAGCAUGUCUCGUUUCCUGUCUGUUCUGGGAAAUACUUUUUUUAAUACUUUUUUUUUUUCAUAGAACUUAUAGCAAUAACAAAAGCAGGCAACAAAAGAAUACAGGAACAAAAAUACAUUCAUGAUGCAUAUGAAUUCCAGUGUAUGUAGGUAACUUGAAAAUGAACAAAGAAUCUUCUGCCUGAACUAAUGAUAAAUCAAAGUAAAGAAAUGCCAAAUGGUCAAAAAACAACCCCCAGGCAUAAUGAAGCUGAAGGAAAAUAAAAAGUAGCAGUACACAUACACAUUCUUGUCAACGUUUCUUACCUGAUGAUAGUGCUGCAUGUUCACAUCUUGAAUGAGUCAGACUUUUAACUUUGCCUAUGAUGUAGAUCUGGAAUAUUGCAGCCUUUUAUAGGCUUCAGUAUGUAAAGUAAAAUGUCUUGUUUUGAAAGCAGUGUUAUCUACACAGUUACUUUUAGCCCAGCUUGCUAGGGCUAAAAAUUCUGUUCUUGUUGUUGUUGGAUUCUUUGUAUUUCCAAGAGGCAAUGUAGGGCUGCUUCAGGUUGGAUUUAGCAUUUGGAUGACUGCAGGUAUUUCUGAGUUAUGCCUGACUACUUACUGAUAUUCAUGCCAAAAGCAUGCCCCUUCUUAAUUCUUAGUUUAAUUGAAAUCUUUAAUAGAACUAUCUGAAUGGACAUAUAUUUACUAAUUUAUUAAACAGUAGCCUUGCUGAAAUAAUAAAACAAAGACAGUUGUGACACUUGCAUAUUAAAUUUUUGUUUUGUCUCAGU
Anas platyrhynchos (mallard) is the source of this 2110-nucleotide long non-coding RNA. RefSeq lists it as uncharacterized. Lineage: Eukaryota; Metazoa; Chordata; Aves; Anseriformes; Anatidae. The record is from RefSeq and is a predicted model, not a curated record.